This 48-nucleotide non-coding RNA is filed under the name Schistosoma curassoni. Lineage: Eukaryota; Metazoa; Platyhelminthes; Trematoda; Strigeidida; Schistosomatidae. The record is from RNAcentral.
AUCAAACUGACGAGUCCCAAAUAAAACAAAACGCGCGUCAAACUAGAU